GAGGGUAUAGCUCAGUGGGAGAGCAUGUGCUUAGCAUGGAUGUGGUCCUGGGUUCAACCCCCAGUAUCUCCA
This 72-nucleotide transfer RNA is filed under the name Camelus bactrianus (Bactrian camel). It matches the Rfam family "tRNA". From Rfam's summary of the family: Transfer RNA (tRNA) molecules are approximately 80 nucleotides in length. Their secondary structure includes four short double-helical elements and three loops (D, anti-codon, and T loops). Lineage: Eukaryota; Metazoa; Chordata; Mammalia; Artiodactyla; Camelidae. The record is from Rfam by way of RNAcentral. RNAcentral also lists the same sequence under 2 other names.